UAGGGAAUCUUCCGCAAUGGACGAAAGUCUGACGGAGCAACGCCGCGUGAGUGAAGAAGGAUUUCGGUUCGUAAAACUCUGUUGUUAGGGAAGAAAAAAUGUAUAGUAACUAUAUACAAAAGAGACGGUACCUAACCAGAAAGCCACGGCUAACUACGUGCCGGCAGCCGCGGUAAUACGUAGGUGGCAAGCGUUGUCCGGAAUUAUUGGGCGUAAAGCGCGCGCAGGUGGUUUAGAAAGUCUGAUGUGAAAGCCCACGGCUCAACCGUGGAGGGUCAUUGGAAACUAAUAAACUUGAGUGCAGGAGAGAAAAGUGGAAUUCCUAGUGUAGCGGUGAAAUGCGUAGAGAUUAGGAGGAACACCGGUGGCGAAAGCGGCUUUUUGGCCUGCAACUGACACUGAGGCGCGAAAGCGUGGGGAGCAAACAGG
RNAcentral lists this ribosomal RNA (429 nucleotides) under Verrucomicrobiota bacterium. RNAcentral describes it as "Verrucomicrobia bacterium partial 16S ribosomal RNA". It matches the Rfam family "Bacterial small subunit ribosomal RNA", at positions 355 to 776 of the family's 1533-position model. The record is from RNAcentral. Lineage: Bacteria; Pseudomonadati; Verrucomicrobiota.